AGAGUGCCAUUUGUAUGACUCUGUAGCUUCAGAGAUUUGAAGAACUUGAACUGUAUCGGCAUCAAGGAUGACUUUGUAUAAGCGAUUCGGAGAGCGUGUGGUUUUUACCAGUAGGUUCCCCGUACGAUCAUGAAGGUGUAGCUCCUUGUCCUUCAUUCUCACUUCACAUCCAGCCUCUGUAGCUUGUCCUAAGCUAAUUAUAUUGCUUCGUAGUCCAGGUAUAUAAUAAACAUCUUUUAGUAUUUUCUUCUCACCACCAUCAAA
RNAcentral lists this long non-coding RNA (264 nucleotides) under Brassica napus (rape). RNAcentral's name for it is "long non-coding RNA (BNAP_LNC007789)". Lineage: Eukaryota; Viridiplantae; Streptophyta; Magnoliopsida; Brassicales; Brassicaceae. The record is from RNAcentral.